UUAAAUUUAAACAAUGUUGUAAGCAUGGCACUCACCCAUAUAUAUAUAUGUUCAUAAUCAUUUGUUGAAGAAAAGUUUAGGAAAGAAAAAUAAUUAUCCGCAUUCGUUUAUCCAUCAUUAUUUGGAGGCUUCGCAGAAAAAUAUUUUAGCUUUGGCGUCCAGAUCCGAGUAGUAGCAGUUGAUAUUGAUGUGAUUCCUACCUUCCAAUACUGAUUCGGAGCAGGCUAUGACUUGGCUUGCCUACUAGGGGAUAAGGUCGGCACCAUCACGACUUGAGAAAUCGGGUCGUGACACCUAAGCAGUUUUAAACAUCUCAUAACCCACUCCACUCUCAAGAACAAGAAAAAAAUUAGGGUUUCUUCCAAGGCUCCAAGGCUUAUACUUUCAAGGCUAGAUUUCAAGCUAAUUCAAAUUCUUUUUCAUCAAAAAGGUACAUGGGGCUAUCCUAAACUAUAUGGGCAUAGGUUUUAUAAUUUCUACAAGUCUUAAACAUAUAUAUAUACACACGUAUAUGUUAUGAAUUUUGAUAAAUUCAUUUUAAAAGCAUGC
Capsicum annuum is the source of this 549-nucleotide long non-coding RNA. RefSeq lists it as uncharacterized. The record is from RefSeq and is a predicted model, not a curated record. Lineage: Eukaryota; Viridiplantae; Streptophyta; Magnoliopsida; Solanales; Solanaceae. The transcript has 3 exons.